UCGAACGAGUUCUCGUUGAUGAUCGGUGCUUGCACCGAGAUUCAACAUGGAACGAGUGGCGGACGGGUGAGUAGCACGUGGGUAACCUGCCCUUAAGUGGGGGAUAACAUUUGGAAACAGAUGCUAAUACCGCAUAGAUCCAAGAACCGCAUGGUUCUUGGCUGAAAGAUGGCGUAAGCUAUCGCUUUUGGAUGGACCCGCGGCGUAUUAGCUAGUUGGUGAGGUAAUGGCUCACCAAGGCGAUGAUACGUAGCCGAACUGAGAGGUUGAUCGGCCACAUUGGGACUGAGACACGGCCCAAACUCCUACGGGAGGCAGCAGUAGGGAAUCUUCCACAAUGGACGCAAGUCUGAUGGAGCAACGCCGCGUGAGUGAAGAAGGCUUUCGGGUCGUAAAACUCUGUUGUUGGAGAAGAAUGGUCGGCAGAGUAACCGUUGUCGGCGUGACGGUAUCCAACCAGAAAGCCACGGCUAACUACGUACCAGCAGCCGCGGUAAUACGUAGGUGGCAAGCGUUAUCCGGAUUUAUUGGGCGUAAAGCGAGCGCAGGCGGUUUUUUAAGUCUGAUGUGAAAGCCCUCGGCUUAACCGAGGAAGCGCAUCGGAAACUGGGAAACUUGAGUGCAGAAGAGGACAGUGGAACUCCAUGUGUAGCGGUGAAAUGCGUAGAUAUAUGGAAGAACACCAGUGGCGAAGGCGGCUGUCUGGUCUGUAACUGACGCUGAGGCUCGAAAGCAUGGGUAGCGAACAGGAUUAGAUACCCUGGUAGUCCAUGCCGUAAACGAUGAAUGCUAG
RNAcentral lists this ribosomal RNA (793 nucleotides) under uncultured bacterium. RNAcentral's name for it is "bacterial SSU rRNA". It matches the Rfam family "Bacterial small subunit ribosomal RNA", at positions 62 to 819 of the family's 1533-position model. The record is from RNAcentral.